This 403-nucleotide ribosomal RNA is filed under the name uncultured bacterium. RNAcentral's name for it is "bacterial SSU rRNA". It matches the Rfam family "Bacterial small subunit ribosomal RNA", at positions 355 to 772 of the family's 1533-position model. The record is from RNAcentral.
UGGGGAAUUUUACGCAAUGGGCGAAAGCCUGACGUAGCGACACCGCGUGAACGAAGAAGCCUUUUGGGGUGUAAAGUUCUGUCAGCAGGGACGAAAAAAAUGACGGUACCUGCAGAGGAAGCAUCGGCUAACUACGUGCCAGCAGCCGCGGUAAGACGUAGGAUGCAAGCGUUGUCCGGAUUUAUUGGGCGUAAAGAGUCCGUAGGUGGUUUGUUAAGUCUGAUGUUAAAGACUGGGGCUCAACCUCGGAAAUGCAUUGGAUACUGGCAGACUUGAGUGCAGUAGAGGCAAGUGGAAUUCCAGGUGUAGCGGUGAAAUGCGUAGAUAUCUGGAAGAACACCGGUGGCGCAAGCGACUUGCUGGGCUGUAACUGACGCUGAGGAACGAAAGCUAGGGGAGCAAA